Molecule: non-coding RNA, 44 nt
Filed under: Schistosoma margrebowiei
Lineage: Eukaryota; Metazoa; Platyhelminthes; Trematoda; Strigeidida; Schistosomatidae
Source: RNAcentral
AUCCAGCUGGCGAGUUCCAAAAAGGGCGAACGCGCGUCCUGUAU